UCCGGGAUAACCCCGGGAAACUGGGGAUAAUUCCGGAUAACGCACAUAUGCUGGAAUGCUUUAUGCGUAAAAUGGAUUCGUCUGCCCAAGGAUGGGUCUGCGGCCUAUCAGGUAGUAGUGGGUGUAAUGUACCUACUAGCUUCCAACGGGUACGGGUUGUGAGACCAAAAGCCGGAAAAUGAUUUUUAAGCCAUGAAUCCAGGCCUUACGGGGCGCAGCAGGCGCGAAACUUUUACAAUGCGGGAACCCGUGAUAAGGGGACACCGAGUGCUAGCAUCAUAUGCUGGCUGUCCAGGUGUGUAAAAUACACCUUGUUAGCAAGGGCCGGGCAAGACCGGUGCCAGCCGCCGCGGUAACACCGGCGGCCCGAGUGGUGAUCGUGAUUAUUGGGUCUAAAGGGUCCGUAGCCGGUUUGGUCAGUCCUCCGGGAAAUCUGAUAGCUCAACUAUUAGGCUUUCGGGGGAUACUGCCAGACUUGGAACCGGGAGAGGUAAGAGGUACUACAGGGGUAGGAGUGAAAUCUUGUAAUCCCUGUGGGACCACCUGUGGCGAAGGCGUCUUACCAGAACGGGUUCGACGGUGAGGGACGAAAGCUGGGGGCACGAACCGGAUUAGAUACCCGGGUAGUCCCAGCCGUAAACGAUGCUCGCUAGGUGUCAGGCAUGGCGCGACCGUGUCUGGUGCCGCAGGGAAGCCGUGAAGCGAGCCACCUGGGAAGUACGGCCCGCAAGGCGA
RNAcentral lists this ribosomal RNA (735 nucleotides) under uncultured Methanosarcinaceae archaeon. Its description in RNAcentral is "SSU rRNA". It matches the Rfam family "Archaeal small subunit ribosomal RNA", at positions 120 to 852 of the family's 1478-position model. Lineage: Archaea; Methanobacteriati; Methanobacteriota; Methanomicrobia; Methanosarcinales; Methanosarcinaceae. The record is from RNAcentral.